Molecule: non-coding RNA, 202 nt
Organism: Emiliania huxleyi CCMP1516
Lineage: Eukaryota; Haptophyta; Isochrysidales; Noelaerhabdaceae
Source: Rfam
AAGAUCAUACUUGAUCAGGAUCAUUUCUGUAGUAUGUUCUUCCACUCAGCGACUGUAGCUGAGCUGUUUCUCACAAUCGAGAGGACGACCUAUACCAUCCGGAGGGUUAGGGACACUGGGCGGGAGCCGCUUGCGGCGCCCGCCCUGGAAGAACCUGCGGUUCUUUUCUUGAGGCGCCCCGCCGGAUUCGAGUCGGAUCGAU